GACAGUUCGGUCCUUAUCCACUGUGGGCGCAGGAGAAUUGAGGGGUUCAGACUCUAGUACGAGAGGACCGAGUCUGACGAACCGCUGGUGUUCCAGUUGUCGUGUCAACGGCAGUGCUGGGUAGCUAUGUUCGGAAAGGAUAAGCGCUGAAAGCAUCUAAGCGCCAAGCCUAUCCCAAGAUGAGUUCUCCCUGAAGAGUCGUGGUAGACCACCACGUUGAUAGGUUACUGGUGUAAGCGUGGUAACACGUUCAGCUAAGUAAUACUAAUAACUCGUUCGGCUUGGUCAUUUA
Molecule: ribosomal RNA, 292 nt
Filed under: Verrucomicrobiota bacterium
Lineage: Bacteria; Pseudomonadati; Verrucomicrobiota
Description: Verrucomicrobia bacterium partial 23S ribosomal RNA
Rfam family: Bacterial large subunit ribosomal RNA
Source: RNAcentral